GUCAACGAUCAUACCAUGUUGAAAACACCGGUUCUCGUCCGAUCACCGAAGUUAAGCAACAUCGGGCGCGAUUAGUACUUAGAUGGGUGACCGCUUGGGAACAUCGCGUGUCGUUGGCA
This is a ribosomal RNA of Culex pipiens (northern house mosquito), 119 nucleotides long. Lineage: Eukaryota; Metazoa; Arthropoda; Insecta; Diptera; Culicidae. The record is from Rfam.